AGCCGGGCGGCUGCGGGUUUGGAGUCGUCGGCGGGUUGGGUUCCUGCGGUGCUGCUGGUAUUUCGGCCGUUGGCGGCGGACCGGACGCAUACGUGCCGGGGCGCCGAGGGCUGCGGCGUGACGGGCGCCCGGUUCUGCCUGCAGGUGCGCGCAGGUGCCGGCAGGUGCGCGGGGCGCGACCCCCAGAGCGGUCGGCCGCGGAGCCUCGGGAGGAGGUGCUGUUGAUGUCAUGGUGCUGCCAGCUUGGGGAGUGAAGACCGGAAACAGGCGAUCCAGGGACCCCGGCACAGGUCCCCACAGGUGCUGAAAGAAGUGGCGAUUAGCACAUCUGAGCCUCCUUGUUGGGCUGGUACAACUAAGCCACGUGGGGUUUCCCAAGGACCAAGGCCGCAAAAUCCACUUCUGUCUGGAGACAUCAUCAUGAGGAAUGUACGGCUGAGCCGCUAGCAUGUCUGAGGUUCACAUUGGUCUUGCCUGCAGCACCUGUGCGUGUAGGUGAGUUUCUCUUUUCACAAGGACCUAGGUGUCUGCCACAGUUCCUGUCUGCCUGACUACUUGUGAAGCUGAGACCUGAUACAACGUCGUUCGGGCACUGGUGUGGGUCUGUGGGCACUGGGUCAACGCAGAGGUUACGAUCCUUGUUCCGAAGGUGGGUGUGUCACCCUGAAUCACAGGAGACGUGCUCUCAAAUACGACACCCGCUUAAGGCCGCAGCGGCACAAUCAUUUUGUCUAAUUAUAUACUGGUAAAAAAGAGGACUGAUUUCUAUUGAACCUAUGCAAAUAACUAGAUUUCUAUUAAAAUUGAAUAGUCAGUAAAAACGAUUUUUCCUGAAUUCCGACGUAGGAAAAUACCAUUUAAAAAAUGUUUCAUUUGGGCUUCCCUGGUGGCGCAGUGGUUGAGAAUCUGCCUGCCAAUGCGGGGGACACGGGUUUGAG
Delphinapterus leucas (beluga whale) is the source of this 938-nucleotide long non-coding RNA. RefSeq lists it as uncharacterized. Lineage: Eukaryota; Metazoa; Chordata; Mammalia; Artiodactyla; Monodontidae. The record is from RefSeq and is a predicted model, not a curated record.